UCUUUCUUGAGGAUUUUCCUAUUAAAAAGGCAUCUUUCUUACCCAAUGGAUCUCAAGUUGUUAUAUCAGGAAGAAGAAAGUUCUUCCAUGUCUUAGACUUGGUCAAAGCAAGUGUAGAUAAAAUGGGUCCCCUAGUUGGCAGGGAAGAAAAGAGCCUGGAAAGUUUUGAGGUAUCUCCUGAUUCAGAUACAAUUGCUUUUCUUGGUAAUGAAGGAUACAUUUUGCUAGUUUCCUCCAAAACAAAGGAGCUAAUUGGGACAAUGAAAAUGAAUGGAACUGUUCGCUCAGUGGCUUUCACCAAUGACGGACAACAAUUAUUGAGCUCUGGUGGAGACGAUGAAAAUGAAUGGAACCGUUCGCUCAGUGGCUUUCACCAAUGACGGACAACAAUUAUUGAGCUCUGGUGGAGACGGGCAGAUUUACCAUUGGGAUUUGAGAACAAGAACUUGCAUUCAUAAAGGUGUUGAUGAAGGGU
This 475-nucleotide long non-coding RNA is filed under the name Nicotiana benthamiana. Its description in RNAcentral is "long non-coding RNA (NBEN_LNC014777)". The record is from RNAcentral. Lineage: Eukaryota; Viridiplantae; Streptophyta; Magnoliopsida; Solanales; Solanaceae.